GAUGAACGCUGGCGGCGUGCCUAAUACAUGCAAGUCGAGCGAACGGACGAGAAGCUUGCUUCUCUGAUGUUAGCGGCGGACGGGUGAGUAACACGUGGAUAACCUACCUAUAAGACUGGGAUAACUUCGGGAAACCGGAGCUAAUACCGGAUAAUAUUUUGAACCGCACGGUUCAAAAGUGAAAGACGGUCUUGCUGUCACUUAUAGAUGGAUCCGCGCUGCAUUAGCUAGUUGGUAAGGUAACGGCUUACCAAGGCAACGAUGCAUAGCCGACCUGAGAGGGGGAUCGGCCAACCUGGAACUGAGACACGGUCCAGACUCCUACGGGAGGCAGCAGUAGGGAAUCUUCCGCAAUGGGCGAAGGCCGGACGGGCAACGCCGCGUGAGUGAUGAAGGUCUUCGGAUCGUAAAACUCUGUUAUUAGGGAAGAACAUAUGUGUAAGUAACUGUGCACAUCUUGACGGUACCUAAUCAGAAAGCCACGGCUAACUACGUG
RNAcentral lists this ribosomal RNA (496 nucleotides) under uncultured bacterium. RNAcentral describes it as "partial 16S ribosomal RNA". It matches the Rfam family "Bacterial small subunit ribosomal RNA", at positions 28 to 507 of the family's 1533-position model. The record is from RNAcentral.